RNAcentral lists this ribosomal RNA (292 nucleotides) under uncultured bacterium. Its description in RNAcentral is "partial 16S ribosomal RNA". It matches the Rfam family "Bacterial small subunit ribosomal RNA", at positions 505 to 796 of the family's 1533-position model. The record is from RNAcentral.
GUGCCAGCCGCCGCGGUAAUACGGGUGAGGCAAGCGUUGUUCGGAAUCAUUGGGCUUAAAGCGCGUGUAGGCGGCGUCGUAAGUACCUUGUGAAAUCCCUUCUCUCAAUGGAGGAAUUGCUUGGUAUACUGCGGUGCUUGAGGCAGGUAGGGGUGCUUGGAACUCUAGGUGGAGCGGUGAAAUGCGUAGAUAUCUAGAGGAACGCCAGUGGCGAAAGCGGAGCACUGGGCCUGUCCUGACGCUGAGACGCGAAAGCGUGGGUAGCAAACGGGAUUAGAUACCCCCGUAGUCC